GGGGGUGUAGCUCAGUUGGUUAGAGCGUCGGCCUGUCACGCCGAAGGCCGCGAGUUCGAGUCUCGUCACUCUCGCCA
RNAcentral lists this transfer RNA (77 nucleotides) under Terasakiella magnetica. Its description in RNAcentral is "Candidatus Terasakiella magnetica tRNA-Asp". It matches the Rfam family "tRNA". Rfam says of the family: Transfer RNA (tRNA) molecules are approximately 80 nucleotides in length. Their secondary structure includes four short double-helical elements and three loops (D, anti-codon, and T loops). Lineage: Bacteria; Pseudomonadati; Pseudomonadota; Alphaproteobacteria; Rhodospirillales; Terasakiellaceae. The record is from RNAcentral.